RNAcentral lists this ribosomal RNA (1939 nucleotides) under Triticum aestivum (bread wheat). RNAcentral's name for it is "partial small subunit ribosomal RNA". The record is from RNAcentral. Lineage: Eukaryota; Viridiplantae; Streptophyta; Magnoliopsida; Poales; Poaceae.
GGUGAGCGCUCGGUGCUGGAGAAGGAGUACGCGGUGCCGGCCUGGGCUGGGCUGGCUGGGCUGGGCGAAAGGAGGGUGGGGCAGAGGGAGGACGCUAGAGGAGAUGCUGCUCGCUGCGGCGGACGGAGUAGAGGAACCGUGGUCGUCGCUGGUGCGGCGGCCCGGAAGAGGCUCAGGACUUAUCUAGCGACGGCCAUCCCCCAUAGUUGAUUGAAGACUCCUUUGAUAAGUCUCGGUCACAAGAAGACAUUCACGAAAGAAUGUUGAGGACGAAGACAUACGUCAGACAACUGCACGUGACAUGGACCGCCAGGAGGUAUCGGUACCACUCAAUGAACGGGAGAGUAAGCAGGUCUGGAACAGUAAGGGACCUGCAGUAACAGUGGCUUAAACCCGUCGGUGGCUCAGACUAAUCCGGUUUAACUUUCACUUCAAGGUAAAACUUGCAAAUUAGUAAAUUACAACCUCUCCUCUUCAACCAUGAAUUUCUAACCACGGUAAAACUUACGAGACAAAAAGUAACGACUUCUGCUAUGACAGUGAUUGGUUACGUCACGUGGAGUUACUUAGUAGUCAGUAGUGUUUUAAGGACAAGUAUAAAAGACCAAUGAAUGGACUCGUUCAGAACUUCCAAGACCUUCGACUACAAUUUCAUCUCGGGUUGUUGAUCUUUUAAGACCAAACCACGGUAGUGUAAAACUGUCGGUAUGUUGUAUUGAUCUUCCCCUUCGUUAUGAACUCUACUGUUUUGAAAAGACUUUACUUCGUUUUGCAAUUCGGAAUUUUUCAUUUUAAGUUAAGAACUCAGAGUAUCAUUACCUUUGGGAAAGAAUCUUCAUGUUGAUACAGUGAACUAAAUAAAGGUUUAGUUUACCGCUUCGAUAUGCUGUGAAGGUAAACGUGCAGUCUGUAUAUUCGGUAUAUCAACAUACCACGGAAGACGAAUAUGAUCGGUUCCAUCAGGUUUGUCCGCUUUUCAUUAUUCCACUGUAUUUAAGACACCCCAGUUUCAUGAAGUUAAUCUCAAUGUGGAAAUCCUUGUAGAAAGUACACAAAUCCACAAACUGCUUCGAUUAUACCUACCAUCGUUUUAAUAGUUUACACGAGUAGCGAACGAAAUCAAAGAUCAAACCAGUACCAAUUACAAUUGAUCGCUAUACACUCGUGGUAUACGUAGAGAGGGAGCUCCUGUCCAAAUAGUGAGAUCAAAGUCACUGCUACUGCCCUAGUGUUUUCGGACACCCACAGGAAACGAAGGUGAUUUUUGAGUAUAGUUCCCGGGUCGGGGUCGGAGUCUAAGUCUAUUUCGCCUAUAUCAACUACUUCGCUAUUGAAAGAAAGCUCGUUUACAAAAGAAGUUUUUGAAGGUACAGUUUUCGGAUCGUCUGUUCAACGAAUAGAUAGACUGUAGGAUGUAGUUAUAACGGAACUUUUCUGAUCUUUCGACGGCCUGUGACCGACAACCUUGAUUCCGUUAGUAAUUGGACCCCAACCUUUUACAGGGACACGGGCCCCUUGGACCCAAAGGAAAGGGACCUGAAAAGUGAGAAGGGCUUAGGCUCCUCCUUCGUCUCAACAACUCCUUGAUAGACUUCGUCUAUUCCCUCCUUUGUUCGCCCUCCGACGAGUUGACACGUAUGUCUCGAUUACCGUGAGGUUUGUUUACCACCAACCGAAAACGUUUCUCCUUCAAGUACUUGGAACAGUAGGAGAUCUCACAUUAAUUCGUAAAGUCGUUGUCCAAUCCCCACAAGAACGUAUAGGAAUAAAGCGAGCGUGUAAAUAAGUAUACUACUACAUUUAUUAGAAAGAAGACUACAUAACUUCAUAUUUUACGGGUUUGUCAAAGAACGUUACAUGACGACAAUAGCACCGGAAGCGACUUAAUUAAGAAGUAAGAGAAGGACACCCAGACCGAGCUUUAGCCUGGUUAAAACGG